This 267-nucleotide long non-coding RNA is filed under the name Physcomitrium patens. RNAcentral's name for it is "long non-coding RNA (PPAT_LNC013146)". Lineage: Eukaryota; Viridiplantae; Streptophyta; Bryopsida; Funariales; Funariaceae. The record is from RNAcentral.
UUUUCUUUCAAAAAAGACUCUUUCUAUCUAACUUAUAUAUCAAACAUAAUUAUAUUUUUGAGUUUAUUUGAAUUAGAAAUUUAAAUUUAUUCUUUGAUAAUAAUAAUUCUAAUUAUAAAAAAUAUAAAAAGUAUCUUUAAUUUACAAGAUUUAUUCAUCCAAAAAAGAAUAAAAAUACUUUGAUUCUUAAUUUAUAUUUUUAACUAAAGAAUUUAUAUUUUUAUACAUAUUUAUCUAAUAAAAUUAAUUUUUAAUAAAUAUACAUAU